RNAcentral lists this ribosomal RNA (253 nucleotides) under uncultured Candidatus Epulonipiscium sp. RNAcentral's name for it is "uncultured Epulopiscium sp. partial 16S ribosomal RNA". It matches the Rfam family "Bacterial small subunit ribosomal RNA", at positions 524 to 776 of the family's 1533-position model. The record is from RNAcentral. Lineage: Bacteria; Bacillati; Bacillota; Clostridia; Lachnospirales; Lachnospiraceae.
UACGUAGGGAGCGAGCGUUAUCCGGAUUUACUGGGUGUAAAGGGUGCGUAGGCGGUUUGUUAAGUCAGAAGUGAAAUUUUGGGGCUCAACCUCAGAGCUGCUUCUGAAACUGAUGAACUAGAGUGUGGAAGAGGAAAGUGGAAUUCCGAGUGUAGCGGUGAAAUGCGUAGAGAUUCGGAGGAACACCAGUAGCGAAGGCGGCUUUCUGGACCAUAACUGACGCUGAGGCACGAAAGCGUGGGGAGCAAACAGG